GAUGAACGCUGGCGGCGUGCUUAACACAUGCAAGUCGAACGGAAAGGCUCCUGCUUGCAGGGGUACUCGAGUGGCGAACGGGUGAGUAACACGUGGGUGAUCUGCCCUGCACUUCGGGAUAAGCCUGGGAAACUGGGUCUAAUACCGGAUAGGACCACAUUUUGGAUGGUGUGGUGGAAAGUUUUUCGGUGUGGGAUGAGCUCGCGGCCUAUCAGCUUGUUGGUGGGGUAAUGGCCUACCAAGGCGUCGACGGGUAGCCGGCCUGAGAGGGUGAACGGCCACAUUGGGACUGAGAUACGGCCCAGACUCCUACGGGAGGCAGCAGUGGGGAAUAUUGCACAAUGGGCGCAAGCCUGAUGCAGCGACGCCGCGUGGGGGAUGACGGCCUUCGGGUUGUAAACUCCUUUCGCUAGGGACGAAGCGCAAGUGACGGUACCUGGAGAAGAAGCACCGGCUAACUACGUG
This 465-nucleotide ribosomal RNA is filed under the name uncultured bacterium. RNAcentral's name for it is "partial 16S ribosomal RNA". It matches the Rfam family "Bacterial small subunit ribosomal RNA", at positions 28 to 507 of the family's 1533-position model. The record is from RNAcentral.